This 2367-nucleotide long non-coding RNA is filed under the name Olea europaea subsp. europaea. Lineage: Eukaryota; Viridiplantae; Streptophyta; Magnoliopsida; Lamiales; Oleaceae. The record is from RNAcentral.
UUAUGGACUAAAUUCCCCGUUUGACUUAAGCAUCGAAGGGGCAAUGAGAAGUGUUCUCGUUGCCUUUGUUGCGGGUAUCAGAAGACUGUACGUGUUCUGUAGAAAUUGGUUCAAAUAAUUAACCAAAAAUUGGAAAAUGAAAAGGUGUGUAAAAGUGAAAAAUGAAAACGUGUGACUAUGUGUCAACUUCGACCAAAUAUUCGGAUUUGAUCCAAUGGUCAAAUUACAAAAGUAAAUAGACCAACUUAUUUUACUCGUUGAGUAGAUUGUCGUGGUAUAUUUGGAAUCUCGAAACCAAUUCCGGAUGAAUGAGAAAUUGCGGACCAAAGUUGAAAGAAAUGAAGUGUUGCAACUUUUCGAAAGGAUGCAGGUUUUGGCCUAGUGUUGUAACUUUUCGAAAGGAUGCAUGUUUUGGCUCACACUAUUUUAUUUGCGCCCUUUCUGCAUCUAUAAAUAGGACCCUAUGGACAUGAUUUUGGGUACACCAAUUGCAUUGAGCAUUCAUUCUCCUCUUGCAAUUCACUCCUUUCUAAUUCCAUAGCACUUUCAUACAUUUCCUUUGUAGAGCGAAAAUUCUGUCAAAAGUUCAUUAGUUUCUUAUGGUUUGAAGUACUGCUACCACAAGUUGUGAAGCUAUUGUAUCUUGGGAGACAAUUUUCGUUCACCGUGAGUACCGUAGCGGGGCAAUUUGUCUUAAGGAAAGAGACAAGUUCUCGCAUUGGAUUAUUCUCUAUUUCUACUCCUUCUUAAUCCUUGUUUUGCGUAAUCGUUAUAUCGAAACUCUAUCCAAAUUUUCAUUCAUAUAAAUUGUGUUUUAAUCACGCUCUUGUGGGUUAAAACUGGUCAAACAAAUAUAUAAAAAAUCAACCCUUACAUAACCCUUUUUAUAAGUCGUCUCCAACAAAUUUAAGAUAAAUUUUUUGUGUCUUUGUGGUUGGUUGUGGACAACCAUUACUUUGUUUGAAUAAUGUUUUGUGUACUAUUCCUCCACCGAUAUUAUCGUCAUUUUGUUGAACUUUUGUUUGUGUCACAGAAAUGACAACCAUUAGGACUUUGUCAAGUCAAAAUGGAUCCAAUAAUGUAGUACCACCCGUGGUCAUACCGUUGCAUAAUAUUACUAUCCCACAUGAGGAAAAAGUUGAAAAAAUUUGUAGGAAUAGACUUCAAGAGAUGGCAACAAAAGAUGUGGUUUUAUCUCACCGCUCUUAAUUUGGCUAAAUUUCUAAAGGAAACUGCACCGACUGUACAAGAAGGGAAAAAUAAUCGUGAAUCGAUUAUUGUUUUGGAUGCAUGGAAACACUCGGACUUCCUAUGCAAGAACUAUAUCCUAAACAGAUUGGAUAAUACACUAUAUGAGGUGUAUAGUUCAAAGGAAUCAGCCCAGGAACUAUGAGAUUCUUUGGAGAGAAAGUACAAGACCGAGGAUGCCGGAACAAAGAAGUUCAUUUUCGACAAAUUUUUGGACUACAAGAUGGUAGAUUCCAAAAUCUUGAUUAGCCAGGUGUAAGAGAUUUAAGUCUUGUUGCAUGACAUCCAUGCCAAUAAAAUAGAAUUGAGUGAAUCAUUCCAAGUGGUUGUCAUUAUUGAGAAACUCCCUCUUGUGUGGAGAGAUUUCAAAAAUUACCUUAAGCACAAAUACAAGGAAAUGAAUUUGGAAGAAUUGAUUGUGCGCUUGAGGAUUGAAAAGGACAAUUGAAAAAUCGAACGAAGGCCGGUUGAUCAAGAUGGUGCAAAUUUUGUUGAAAUGGAACCAAAGACAAGAAACAAGAAACGAAAGGCUCGUAAUUAUGCACCGCGAAGAGACAAUUCCAAGAAGGCUAAGAAGUUCAAAGGAAAUUGUUACAACUGUGGCAAGGCUGGACAUCAUUCAAGUGAAUGUCAAAAGUCAAAGAAGAAUGCUCAAACCCACAUGGUUGCAAAUAACACUUUAUCCGGUGGACUGCAAGAAAUGAGUUUAUCUGUAGUAGUGUCCGAAUGCAACAUGAUUGGAAAUACUAGAGAAUGGUGAAUUGACACCGGCGCUACCCGUCAUAUGUGUGCGGACAAGACGAUAUUCUCCAACUAUCAAAGAUUUGAAUGGGGAACAACUAUAGAUGGAAAAUUCUGCAAGUUCCAAAGUUGAAGGACAAUGCAAAGUCACUUUGAAGAUGACAUCCGGGAAAGAACUCGUUAUCAACAAUGUCCUACAUAUGCUGGAUAUACGAAAGAAUUUAGUGUCCGGGUCUCUACUUAGCAAGAAUGAUUUUAAACUUAUAUUUGUAUCCGAUAAAUUUGUGUUGUCUAAGAAUGAGAUAUAUGUAGGGAAAUGAUACAUGUGUGAUGGAAUGUUCAAGUUGAACGUUCUUACAAUUGUAUCGAAGUAAGUCG